AUGCCCGUCGUUUUGCCGCUCCUGCUCGCCGACCACCCGUGUCGACCACGCUCGUCCCCAGUGGCUGACUGCAGCUCACCCACCGGCCGGUUCCAGCUCGCUCCCAUUGUGGUUGCAGCAUCUCCACGCAUCACCGCCUCCGCUCGUCGCCGUCGUCCGCUCAGACCAUCGUGUUCCGUUGCAAAAAAGAAAAUCUCAGCCAAAGCAAAAAAUCUAUUGAUUUUGCCGGCAGUAGCAAAAACACAUGCGGGUUGUAGCAAAAAUUAUCCAUGUUUCCAGCAAAAACACAUUGCCGCCGCCGGUCAUAGCAAGAACUCUCACCUGCCCAUGCAGCAAAAAAUCUUGCCGGUUCCAGCAAUUUUUUUUGCCAGUUCCAGCAAAAACGAACUCGACGUCGUCCGGUUCCCGCACCCGCCAAAAGUGGUUGCAGCUUUUCUGCCGUCUGGUUCCAGCAAUAAAAAUCUCUAG
Molecule: ribosomal RNA, 468 nt
Filed under: Triticum aestivum (bread wheat)
Lineage: Eukaryota; Viridiplantae; Streptophyta; Magnoliopsida; Poales; Poaceae
Description: partial small subunit ribosomal RNA
Source: RNAcentral